CCUACGGGGGGCAGCAGUGAGGAAUAUUGGUCAAUGGCCGGAAGGCUGAACCAGCCAUGCCGCGUGAAGGUCAGUGCCCUAUGGGCGUUAAACUUCUUUUGUGCGGGAGCAAUACUGGUCACGUGUGGCCAGACGAGAGUACCGUACGACUAAGCAUCGGCUAACUCCGUGCCAGCAGCCGCGGUAAUACGGGGGAUGCAAGCGUUAUCCGGAUUUAUUGGGUUUAAAGGGUGCGUAGGCUGGGAGGUAAGUCAGCGGUGAAAUGCCCCGGCUCAACGGGGUGAAGUGCCAUUGAUACUGCCUGGCUGGAAUGCGGAAGCCGUGGGAGGAAUGUGUGGUGUAGCGGUGAAAUGCAUAGAUAUCACACAGAACACCGAUUGCGAAGGCAUCUCACGAAUCCGCGAUUGACGCUGAGGCACGAAAGCGUGGGUAUCAAACAGGAUUAGAUACCCUUGUAGUC
RNAcentral lists this ribosomal RNA (460 nucleotides) under uncultured bacterium. RNAcentral's name for it is "partial 16S ribosomal RNA". It matches the Rfam family "Bacterial small subunit ribosomal RNA", at positions 338 to 795 of the family's 1533-position model. The record is from RNAcentral.